This 436-nucleotide ribosomal RNA is filed under the name Pithecopus oreades. RNAcentral describes it as "partial 12S ribosomal RNA". It matches the Rfam family "Bacterial small subunit ribosomal RNA", at positions 895 to 1522 of the family's 1533-position model. The record is from RNAcentral. Lineage: Eukaryota; Metazoa; Chordata; Amphibia; Anura; Hylidae.
UAAAACUCAAAGGACUUGACGGUACCCCACAUCCACCUAGAGGAGCCUGUCCUAUAAUCGAUAACCCCCGCUUCACCUUACCAUUUUUAGUCAAUCAGUCUGUAUACCUCCGUCGUCAGCUUACCACGUGAGCGAACCAUAGUAAGCUUAAUGCCAAUGCGCCAAUACGUCAGGUCAAGGUGCAACUAACAAAAUGUGAAAGAGAUGGGCUACACUCUCUAAUUUAGAAAACACGAAAAACUUUAUGAAAUCUAGUUAGAAGGCGGAUUUAGCAGUAAAAAGAAACUAGAGAGUUCUUUUUAAUACGGCACUGGGGUGUGUACACACCGCCCGUCACCCUCUUCAAGACCCCAAUUUCAUAGUACCUAACUAACUUUCUACCUUAAGAAGAGGUAAGUCGUAACAUGGUAAGUAUACCGGAAGGUGUGCUUGGAAA